Molecule: ribosomal RNA, 496 nt
Filed under: uncultured bacterium
Lineage: Bacteria
Description: partial 16S ribosomal RNA
Rfam family: Bacterial small subunit ribosomal RNA
Source: RNAcentral
GAUGAACGCUGGCGGCGUGCCUAAUACAUGCAAGUCGAGCGAACAGACGAGGAGCUUGCUCCUCUGACGUUAGCGGCGGACGGGUGAGUAACACGUGGAUAACCUACCUAUAAGACUGGGAUAACUUCGGGAAACCGGAGCUAAUACCGAUAAUAUAUUGAACCGCCUGGUUCAAUAGUGAAAGACGGUUUUGCUGUCACUUAUAGAUGGAUCCGCGCCGCAUUAGCUAGUUGGUAAGGUAACGGCUUACCAAGGCGACGAUGCGUAGCCGACCUGAGAGGGUGAUCGGCCACACUGGAACUGAGACACGGUCCAGACUCCUACGGGAGGCAGCAGUAGGGAAUCUUCCGCAAUGGGCGAAAGCCUGACGGAGCAACGCCGCGUGAGUGAUGAAGGUCUUCGGAUCGUAAAACUCUGUUAUUAGGGAAGAACAAAUGUGUAAGUAACUAUGCACGUCUUGACGGUACCUAAUCAGAAAGCCACGGCUAACUACGUG